AUGGGUAUAAGAGAAAGGAUCUAACCAUGGCCAGAAUGAAGCUUUGGUGAUAAGAAGUGGAGGGUCGAACCGACCGAUGUUGAAAAAUCGACGGAUGAGUUGUGGUUAGGGGUGAAAUGCCAAUCGAACUCGGAGCUAGCUGGUUCUCCCCGAAAUGCGUUGAGGCGCAGCGGUUGAUUAUGGGCUUCCAGGGGGUAAAGCGCUGUCUCGGUGCGGGCUGCGAGAGCGGUACCAAUCUGUUGCAAACUCGGAAUACCUGGAAUGCUUUCAAUCAGCCAGUGAGACUGCGGGGGAUAAGCUCCGUAGUCAAAAGGGAAACAGCCCAGACCACCAGCUAAGGCUCCUAAAUAAAAGCUAAGUGGCAAAGGAGGUGAAAGUGCAGUGACAAUCAGGAGGUUUGCCUAGAAGCAGCCACCCUCUAAGGAGUGCGUAAUAGCUCACUGAUCAAGCGCUUUUGCGCCGAAAAUGACCGGAACUAAGUUUUUUGCCGAAGCUGUGGCUACAUUAAACAGAUGAUGUAGGGUAGAGGAGCGUUCCGCCCAGGGGGAAGCCAAGCGCGUAAGCCGCGGUGGACAGGGCGGAAGUGAGAAUGUCAGCUUGAGUAACGCAAACAUUGGUGAGAAUCCAGUGCCCCGAAAACUCAAGGGUUCCUGCGCAAGGCUCGUCCGCGCAGGGUCAGUCAGGACCUAAGGUGAGGCCGAAAGGCGUAAUUGAUGGCAAGAAGGUUUAUAUUCCUUCACUAGUCUAGGCUUAGUCCUGAGGGACGAACAAAUAACACUCGGCACAAUGGCCUUCCAUGGUAGGAAGGGUCAAACCAUUGUUGUUUGAUGGUAUUUUUUCCAAGAAAAGCUCAUUCGACUUUGAGUCUAGACUACCUGUACCGUAAACCGACACAGGUGAGUGGGUUGAAUAAACUAAGGGGAGCGAGAUAACUCUCUCUAAGGAACUCGGCAAAUUGGCUCUGUACCUUCGGAAGAAAGAGUGCCCCUCAGGGGGCCGCAGUGAAGAGAUCCAGGCGACUGUUUACCAAAAACACAGGUCUCCGCAAAGUCGUAAGACGACGUAUGGGGGCUGACACCUGCCCAGUGCCAGAAGGUUAAAGAAGUUGGUCAAUCUAUGAUGAAGCUAACGACUGAAGCCCUGGUGAACGGCGGCCGUAACUAUAACGGUCCUAAGGUAGCGAAAUUCCUUGUCGGGUAAGUUCCGACCCGCACGAAAGGUGUAACGAUCUGGAUACUGUCUCAGAGAGAGACUCGGUGAAAUAAAACUAUCUGUGAAGAUGCGGAACUGUCUCUUACACACAGCUGACGCGUCCGACGAUU
This 1322-nucleotide ribosomal RNA is filed under the name marine metagenome. RNAcentral's name for it is "bacterial LSU rRNA". It matches the Rfam family "Bacterial large subunit ribosomal RNA", at positions 702 to 2102 of the family's 2925-position model. The record is from RNAcentral.